This 473-nucleotide ribosomal RNA is filed under the name Escherichia coli. RNAcentral's name for it is "bacterial SSU rRNA". It matches the Rfam family "Bacterial small subunit ribosomal RNA", at positions 1 to 470 of the family's 1533-position model. Lineage: Bacteria; Pseudomonadati; Pseudomonadota; Gammaproteobacteria; Enterobacterales; Enterobacteriaceae. The record is from RNAcentral.
AAAUUAAAGAGUUUGAUCAUGGCUCAGAUUGAACGCUGGCGGCAGGCCUAACACAUGCAAGUCGAACGGUAACAGGAAGCAGCUUGCUGCUUCGCUGACGAGUGGCGGACGGGUGAGUAAUGUCUGGGAAACUGCCUGAUGGAGGGGGAUAACUACUGGAAACGGUAGCUAAUACCGCAUAACGUCGCAAGACCAAAGAGGGGGACCUUCGGGCCUCUUGCCAUCGGAUGUGCCCAGAUGGGAUUAGCUAGUAGGUGGGGUAACGGCUCACCUAGGCGACGAUCCCUAGCUGGUCUGAGAGGAUGACCAGCCACACUGGAACUGAGACACGGUCCAGACUCCUACGGGAGGCAGCAGUGGGGAAUAUUGCACAAUGGGCGCAAGCCUGAUGCAGCCAUGCCGCGUGUAUGAAGAAGGCCUUCGGGUUGUAAAGUACUUUCAGCGGGGAGGAAGGGAGUAAAGUUAAUACCUUU